AGAGUUUGAUCCUGGCUCAGGACGAACGCUGGCGGCGUGCUUAACACAUGCAAGUCGAACGGAAAGGCCCCUUCGGGGGUGCUCGAGUGGCGAACGGGUGAGUAACACGUGGGUGAUCUSCCCUGCACUUCGGGAUAAGCUUGGGAAACUGGGUCUAAUACCGGAUAGGACCAUGGCCUGCAUGGGUUGUGGUGGAAAGUUUUUGCGGUGUGGGAUGGGCCCGCGGCCUAUCAGCUUGUUGGUGGGGUGAUGGCCUACCAAGGCGACGACGGGUAGCCGGCCUGAGAGGGUGUCCGGCCACACUGGGACUGAGAUACGGCCCAGACUCCUACGGGAGGCAGCAGUGGGGAAUMUUGCACAAUGGGCGCAAGCCUGAUGCAGCGACGCCGCGUGGGGGAUGACGGCCUUCGGGUUGUAAACCUCUUUCACCAUCGACGAAGGCCUGCUUUUGGGUGGGUUGACGGUAGGUGGAGAARARGCACCGGCCAACUACGUGCCAGCAGCCGCGGUAAUMYYCKWCG
This 521-nucleotide ribosomal RNA is filed under the name uncultured Mycobacterium sp. Its description in RNAcentral is "bacterial SSU rRNA". It matches the Rfam family "Bacterial small subunit ribosomal RNA", at positions 8 to 530 of the family's 1533-position model. Lineage: Bacteria; Bacillati; Actinomycetota; Actinomycetes; Mycobacteriales; Mycobacteriaceae. The record is from RNAcentral.